UAUGAACGCUGGCGGCGUGCCUAAUACAUGCAAGUCGAGCGAACGGACGAGAAGCUUGCUUUUCUGAUGUUAGCGGCGGACGGGUGAGUAACACGUGGAUAACCUACCUAUAAGACUGGGAUAACUUCGGGAAACCGGAGCUAAUACCGGAUAAUAUUUUGAACCGCAUGGUUCAAAAGUGAAAGACGGUCUUGCUGUCACUUAUAGAUGGAUCCGCGCUGCAUUAGCUAGUUGGUAAGGUAACGGCUUACCAAGGCAACGAUGCAUAGCCGACCUGAGAGGGUGAUCGGCCACACUGGAACUGAGACACGGUGCAGACUCCUACGGGAGGCAGCAGUAGGGAAUCUUCCGCAAUGGGCGAAAGCCUGACGGAGCAACGCCGCGUGAGUGAUGAAGGUCUUCGGAUCGUAAAACUCUGUUAUUAGGGAAGAACAUAUGUGUAAGUAACUGUGCACAUCUUGACGGUACCUAAUCAGAAAGCCACGGCUAACUACGUG
RNAcentral lists this ribosomal RNA (497 nucleotides) under uncultured bacterium. RNAcentral's name for it is "partial 16S ribosomal RNA". It matches the Rfam family "Bacterial small subunit ribosomal RNA", at positions 29 to 507 of the family's 1533-position model. The record is from RNAcentral.